UUGAACGCUGGCGGCAUGCCUUACACAUGCAAGUCGUACGGUAACGCGGGGCAACCUGGCGACGAGUGGCGAACGGGUGAGUAAUGCAUCGGAACGUGCCCAGUAGUGGGGGAUAGCCCGGCGAAAGCCGGAUUAAUACCGCAUACGACCUACGGGUGAAAGCGGGGGACCGUAAGGCCUCGCGCUAUUGGAGCGGCCGAUGUCAGAUUAGGUAGUUGGUGGGGUAAAGGCCUACCAAGCCUACGAUCUGUAGCUGGUCUGAGAGGACGACCAGCCACACUGGGACUGAGACACGGCCCAGACUCCUACGGGAGGCAGCAGUGGGGAAUUUUGGACAAUGGGGGCAACCCUGAUCCAGCCAUGCCGCGUGAGUGAAGAAGGCCUUCGGGUUGUAAAGCUCUUUCAGCCGGGAAGAAAACGCAUGGGUUAAUACCCUGUGUGGAUGACGGUACCGGAAUAAGAAGCACCGGCUAACUACGU
Molecule: ribosomal RNA, 480 nt
Filed under: uncultured bacterium
Lineage: Bacteria
Description: bacterial SSU rRNA
Rfam family: Bacterial small subunit ribosomal RNA
Source: RNAcentral